GACGUAGGGGACGAGCGUUGUCCGGAUUCAUUGGGCGUAAAGGGCUCGUAGGCGGUUUGUCGCGUCGGGAGUGAAAACCUUGGGCUUAACUCAGGGCUUGCUUUCGAUACGGGCAGACUAGAGGUAUGCAGGGGAGAACGGAAUUCCUGGUGUAGCGGUGAAAUGCGCAGAUAUCAGGAGGAACACCGGUGGCGAAGGCGGUUCUCUGGGCAUGAUCUGACGCUGAGGAGCGAAAGUGUGGGGAGCGAACAGG
RNAcentral lists this ribosomal RNA (253 nucleotides) under uncultured bacterium. RNAcentral describes it as "partial 16S ribosomal RNA". It matches the Rfam family "Bacterial small subunit ribosomal RNA", at positions 524 to 776 of the family's 1533-position model. The record is from RNAcentral.